This is a non-coding RNA of Callithrix jacchus (white-tufted-ear marmoset), 1061 nucleotides long. The record is from RefSeq and is a predicted model, not a curated record. Lineage: Eukaryota; Metazoa; Chordata; Mammalia; Primates; Cebidae.
GACAUAGCUGCGAGUGACUGUGCUGGUGGUGUUCAAGAUGACCAAGAAUUUCCAAGUCAGUGACGGGGACUGGAUUUGCCCUGACAAAAGAUGUGGAAAUGUAAACUUUGCUAGAAGAACCAGUUGUAAUCGACGUGGUCGGGAGAAAACAACUGAGGCCAAGAUGAUGGAAACUGGGGGCACUGAAACAGAAAAGACACUUGCAGAAAAGAGCCGAGGCCUAUUUAGUGCUAAUGACUGGCAACAUAAAACUUGCAGCAAUGUGAAUUGGGUGAGAAGAUCAGAGUGUAAUAUGUGUAAUACUCCAAAGUAUGCUGAAUUAGAAGAAAAAACAGGAUAUGGUGGUGGUUUUAAUGAAAGAGAAGAAUCUGAUGGUGAAUAUGAUGAGUUUGGACAUAAAAAGAAAAAAUACAGAGGGAAAGCAGUUGGUCCUGCAUCUAUAUUAAAGGAAGUAGAAGAUAAAGAAUCAGAGCAAGAAGAGGAUGAGGAUGAAGAUCUUUCUAAAUAUAAAUUAGACGAGGAUGAGGAUGAAGAUGAUGCUGAUCUCUCAAAAUAUAAUCUUGAUGCCAGUGAAGAAGAAGGUGGUAAUAAAAAGAAAUCUAAUUAACGAAGUCACUGAAAGUCUCGAUCUUCACAUUCACGAUCUUGAUCAUGCUCAUCUAGGUCCAGGUCCUGUUCAAGAAGUUCUUUCAGUUCACAGUCAACAUUUCAUUCCAGUUCCAGAGAACAUUUGAGAUCUUGUAGGUUAAAAUCAAGAUCCAGCUCCAGGUCCCACAGGGGCUCUUUUUCCCCACGAAAAAUACCUUAUUCAGGUUCAUCAUUUUCUCCUGAGAGGAACAGAAAGAGAAUUUGUUCUAGAUCUUCUUCAUCUGGUGAUUGCAAAAAAAGAUGAACAAGAUCACGGUCAUCCGAAAGACGCCACAGGUCGUCUUCUGGAUCAUCCUAUUCUGAUUCCUGUUCAAGUUCAAAAAAGAAAUAAUGCAUUAAAAUUUACAUCUUAAAAAAAUCCAGUACAGUGCAUGAAGCAUAUUUUUAAAGAAGUUGGUGUCUUACUUGGUCAG